GGGGAAUAUUGCACAAUGGGCGAAAGCCUGAUGCAGCAACGCCGCGUGAGUGAUGAAGGUCUUCGGAUUGUAAAGCUCUGUCUUUUGGGACGAUAAUGACGGUACCAAAGGAGGAAGCCACGGCUAACUACGUGCCAGCAGCCGCGGUAAUACGUAGGUGGCGAGCGUUGUCCGGAUUUACUGGGCGUAAAGGGUGCGUAGGCGGAUGUUUAAGUGAGAUGUGAAAUACCCGGGCUUAACUUGGGUGCUGCAUUUCAAACUGGAUAUCUAGAGUGCAGGAGAGGAGAAUGGAAUUCCUAGUGUAGCGGUGAAAUGCGUAGAGAUUAGGAAGAACACCAGUGGCGAAGGCGAUUCUCUGGACUGUAACUGACGCUGAGGCACGAAAGCGUGGGUAGCAAACAGGAUUAGAUACCCUGGUAGUCCACGCCGUAAACGAUGAGUACUAGGUGUAGGAGGUAUCGACCCCUUCUGUGCCGCAGUAAAACACAUUAAGUACUCCGCCUGGGAAGUACGAUCGCAAGAUUAAAACUCU
RNAcentral lists this ribosomal RNA (532 nucleotides) under uncultured bacterium. RNAcentral's name for it is "partial 16S ribosomal RNA". It matches the Rfam family "Bacterial small subunit ribosomal RNA", at positions 356 to 903 of the family's 1533-position model. The record is from RNAcentral.